RNAcentral lists this long non-coding RNA (333 nucleotides) under dengue virus type 2. RNAcentral's name for it is "Dengue virus type 2 partial sfRNA1". The stretch from base 243 to 314 matches the Rfam family "Flavivirus DB element". The record is from RNAcentral. Lineage: Riboviria; Orthornavirae; Kitrinoviricota; Flasuviricetes; Amarillovirales; Flaviviridae.
UAGAAGUCAGGUCGGAUUAAGCCAUAGUACGGAAAAAACUAUGCUACCUGUGAGCCCCGUCCAAGGACGUUAAAAGAAGUCAGGCCACUACAAGUGCCAUAACUUGAGCAAACUAUGCAGCCUGUAGCUCCACCUGGGAAGGUGUAAAAAAUCUGGGAGGCCACAAACCAUGGAAGCUGUACGCAUGGCGUAGUGGACUAGCGGUUAGAGGAGACCCCUCCCUGGCAAAUCGCAGCAACAAUGGGGGCCCAAGGUGAGAUGAAGCUGUAGUCUCACUGGAAGGACUAGAGGUUAGAGGAGACCCCCCCGAAAUAAAAAACAGCAUAUUGACGC